Pangasianodon hypophthalmus (striped catfish) is the source of this 956-nucleotide long non-coding RNA. RefSeq lists it as uncharacterized. Lineage: Eukaryota; Metazoa; Chordata; Actinopteri; Siluriformes; Pangasiidae. The record is from RefSeq and is a predicted model, not a curated record. The transcript has 3 exons.
AUCACGUGACCGCCCCAUAAGCUUAACCAAUGCAGCCUGAGCCGGAAAGAGAAUUGAUUAGUUCAUCUCUCGAGUCUUUCGAGUCGUUCGUUCUUUUGUCAAGUGACAUGACAGCAUUGGAUAGACAAAUUAGUUAAUUUACAACCUUCCUUACAAACGCAUAGUAAUUAUUAUUAUUAAUAUUAUUAUUAUUAAUAUUAUUAUUAAUAUUAUUAAAACAUAACACCAUAGAUCUUCAAGAAACAGUAACAAAAACAUAGUGACAGAAAUGGACAGACCUUUUUUUAUUUCUAGGAAAAUGCUUAUUACACAUCUUUUGAUAAUUUUGUGAUAAUUCCUAAAUAUGAUCCAACAUACAAAAAAUACAGUUUUACGUUAUAGUAUUACUGACUGAGGUACUGAGCCGGGAAGUGGUCACGUGACAAAAGAACGAACAACUCGAAAGACUGGAGAAAUGAACUAAUCAAUUCUCUUUCCGGCUCAGACUGCAUUGGUUAAGCUUAUGGGGCUGUCACGUGAUGAACGAAAGCCUCAGACCCGAAGACUUGUCAGCGCAUCCCAGAUUGCACUACCACGUGACCGAUGACGUCAGUGAAACGCAGGAGGAGGUUUGAGUGUUUGGAAAGAUGGGGCUUCAUCCUGCAAACUAUAACAGUGCCCAGAAAACCACAGCUGGGUGAGGGCUUGCUGGACAUGAUCGUAAUGGAUGCCCAGCUGCUGUCACUGAUUACAACUAAAGUCUUCCAGGUCUUUAAUCUUCUGGACCCUAUAUAGAUCAUCCCUGGUAGGAAGGCCUUGAAGACAAUGAUGGAGAAAAUAAGGCCACCAGAGUGAAGGCUGUUGCUGAGAUAGGAAGAUCUCAGCAGUCAGCCUAACAGCUGACAUGUGGACCUCCAUGCUUACUUGACUGAGGUGCCACUUCAUCAUAGUAAAAAAAAAAAAAAGGUUUCCCCAAA